CCUACGGGUGGCAGCAGUGGGGGAUAUUGCACAAUGGGGGAAACCCUGAUGCAGCGACGCCGCGUGGGUGAAGAAGUAUUUCGGUAUGUAAAGCCCUAUCAGCAGGGAAGAAAGAAGACGGUACCUGACUAAGAAGCCCCGGCUAACUACGUGCCAGCAGCCGCGGUAAUACGUAGGGGGCGAGCGUUAUCCGGAUUCACUGGGUGUAAAGGGAGCGUAGACGGCCGUGCAAGCCAGGAGUGAAAGCCCGGGGCCCAACCCCGGGACUGCUCUUGGAACUGUGCGGCUGGAGUGCCGGAGGGGCAGGCGGAAUUCCUGGUGUAGCGGUGAAAUGCGUAGAUAUCAGGAGGAACACCGGCGGCGAAGGCGGCCUGCUGGACCGCGACUGACGUUGAGGCUCGAAAGCGUGGGGAGCGAACAGGAUUAGAUACCCUGGUAGUC
This 441-nucleotide ribosomal RNA is filed under the name uncultured bacterium. Its description in RNAcentral is "partial 16S ribosomal RNA". It matches the Rfam family "Bacterial small subunit ribosomal RNA", at positions 338 to 795 of the family's 1533-position model. The record is from RNAcentral.